RNAcentral lists this long non-coding RNA (222 nucleotides) under Gossypium raimondii (Peruvian cotton). RNAcentral's name for it is "long non-coding RNA (GRAI_LNC000075)". The record is from RNAcentral. Lineage: Eukaryota; Viridiplantae; Streptophyta; Magnoliopsida; Malvales; Malvaceae.
GCGCAGAUAGGGUUGGGAGGAAAUGGAGAAGGGAAAUUAGACGCCGAGACGAGAAGAAACGAUGACGACAGAAUAAUCAACGGAAGCAGUGGGAAAUGGGAGGAGAAAAUGAUUAGGACGGAAGAGGAGAGGGUCGGGUAGGGAGGGAGGGUAAAACAGAGAGAUGGGGAGGGAGGCCGGAAGUAAUAGCUAAUACAGCGAUUUGGGAAGGGAUUGGAAAAC